AGCGAACGCUGGCGGCAGGCUUAACACAUGCAAGUCGAGCGGGCACUUCGGUGUCAGCGGCAGACGGGUGAGUAACACGUGGGAACGUACCCUUCGGUUCGGAAUAACGCUGGGAAACUAGCGCUAAUACCGGAUACGCCCUUUUGGGGAAAGGUUUACUGCCGAAGGAUCGGCCCGCGUCUGAUUAGCUAGUUGGUGGGGUAAUGGCCUACCAAGGCGACGAUCAGUAGCUGGUCUGAGAGGAUGAUCAGCCACACUGGGACUGAGACACAGCCCAGACUCCUACGGGAGGCAGCAGUGGGGAAUAUUGGACAAUGGGCGCAAGCCUGAUCCAGCCAUGCCGCGUGAGUGAUGAAGGCCUUAGGGUUGUAAAGCUCUUUUGUCCGGGACGAUAAUGACGGUACCGGAAGAAUAAGCCCCGGCUAACUUCGUG
This 433-nucleotide ribosomal RNA is filed under the name uncultured bacterium. RNAcentral describes it as "partial 16S ribosomal RNA". It matches the Rfam family "Bacterial small subunit ribosomal RNA", at positions 29 to 507 of the family's 1533-position model. The record is from RNAcentral.